RNAcentral lists this ribosomal RNA (468 nucleotides) under uncultured bacterium. RNAcentral describes it as "partial 16S ribosomal RNA". It matches the Rfam family "Bacterial small subunit ribosomal RNA", at positions 28 to 507 of the family's 1533-position model. The record is from RNAcentral.
GACGAACGCUGGCGGCGUGCUUAACACAUGCAAGUCGAACGGAAAGGCCCUGCUUUUGUGGGGUGCUCGAGUGGCGGACGGGUGAGUAACACGUGAGUAACCUGCCCUUGACUUUGGGAUAACUUCAGGAAACUGGGGCUAAUACCGGAUAGGAGCUCCUGCUGCAUGGUGGGGGUUGGAAAGUUUCGGCGGUUGGGGAUGGACUCGCGGCUUAUCAGCUUGUUGGUGGGGUAGUGGCUUACCAAGGCUUUGACGGGUAGCCGGCCUGAGAGGGUGACCGGCCACAUUGGGACUGAGAUACGGCCCAGACUCCUACGGGAGGCAGCAGUGGGGAAUAUUGCACAAUGGGCGGAAGCCCGAUGCAGCAACGCCGCGUGCGGGAUGACGGCCUUCGGGUUGUAAACCGCUUUCGCCUGUGACGAAGCGUGAGUGACGGUAAUGGGUAAAGAAGCACCGGCUAACUACGUG